This is a long non-coding RNA of Carassius auratus (goldfish), 241 nucleotides long. RefSeq lists it as uncharacterized. The record is from RefSeq and is a predicted model, not a curated record. The transcript is spliced from 2 exons. Lineage: Eukaryota; Metazoa; Chordata; Actinopteri; Cypriniformes; Cyprinidae.
ACCUGAGCGAAUUAGCGUCCAGAAACCUUGACCACGUGAUUCCCCCCGCCCUCACAGUGACUGAAGAUCAGUGCAGGGGGAUACAGGUCGAAGGCUUAAGUUUCUGCAUUAUCAUUGUUUCUGGACUGUUUAAAGAUCGCCUUUUGGACAAAGUGUUGUGUGUGAAUGCAAAAAAAAACCACAACCACGACCAAACCAUCUGUUGAGUGGUGACAAUAAAUGGGUUAUUCCCAGAAAAGUG